This 238-nucleotide ribosomal RNA is filed under the name uncultured bacterium. RNAcentral's name for it is "partial 16S ribosomal RNA". It matches the Rfam family "Bacterial small subunit ribosomal RNA", at positions 15 to 248 of the family's 1533-position model. The record is from RNAcentral.
GAUCAUGGCUCAGGAUGAACGCUAGCUACAGGCUUAACACAUGCAAGUCGAGGGGCAGCAUGACCUAGCAAUAGUUUGAUGGCGACCGGCGCACGGGUGAGUAACACGUAUCCAACCUUCCCGUUACUCUGGAAUAGCCUUUCGAAAGAAAGAUUAAUACCGGAUAGUAUCGAGAGGUUGCAUGAUUACCCGAUUAAAGAUUCAUCGGUAACGGAUGGGGAUGCGUUCCAUUAGGCAG